Long non-coding RNA from Acinonyx jubatus (cheetah), 2803 nucleotides. RefSeq lists it as uncharacterized. The record is from RefSeq and is a predicted model, not a curated record. Lineage: Eukaryota; Metazoa; Chordata; Mammalia; Carnivora; Felidae. The transcript has 2 exons.
CUGUACCUGAAUUCACACUAACAGGUGACUCAUGGCAGCCCUUGGUGUCAAAGGAGGGGCUGGCCACAGAAAAAACAGCGGGGGUGGGGGGUGGGGGGUGGGGAAUGGAGGGUUGGAACUUUCAGCCCCACCUCUGCCUCUCCGGGGAGCUGCAGACUGGAUGGCCAACAUGUUAGUCGGCCCAGUCAUGCCCAGGAGAUAAAACUCCGUGGAGAUUUCUGGUUGGUGAACACAUAGAUGUGUCAGGGGUGCUGUGCCUGGAUUCCACCAGGGGGAGGGAACGGGAGCUCUGUGCGCCCCUCCCCACCCCAGACCUCACCCCUAUCCGUCUCUGUCCCUAGCUGCUCUUGAGUUGUGUCCUUCAGAAUAAAAGGGUCAGCAGAAAUAGAGUCACUGCAGUGAGUUCUCAGAGUCAUUCAGUGAAUGAUCAACUCUGAAGGGGGGCCGUCAGGUUUAAAGCCAAGUCAGAAGUCUGGGUAGCCUGGGGACCCCACUUGUGUCUGGCAUCUGAAGUAAGGGCAGUCUCGUUGGGGACCCUGCUCUUUAACCUACGGGGUCUGCACUCACUCCAGGUACUUCGUGUCAGAACCGGGCUGAAUUGUAGGACCCCCGCGGGCGCUGCAGAAUUGUUGCCAAAGCAGUGAGUGAGUGAGUGAGUAUGUACGUGGGGGGGUGGUGAGUGUGGAAUGAGUGGACUCCGGGCUGCCCCAGGGCCUCUUGCCUGGAGCUCUGGGGAACAGGGCACGGGAAGGAAGGCCAGUGUUUUCCAAACUGUGGCUCAUGACCCGUGAGUGCAAAUGCCACCAACUAUUUUUAUUUUUUCAAGUAAAAGAGAAGAGAAGACAAUCAGGAUGCCUAUAAGAAGGAUGAACGCGGUCAGAGAGUGAGAGAGAGAGAGCGAGAGACCUACAAAGGGCCAGGGCCGUAGCCCCAACAUAUAUUUCUCCCUCUACUGGCAUCGCCUUCUUCUUGGACUAUUGUGACCCCACGCUGAGCUCUCUCUUGGUUGACUGCCAUGACAAAGCACGGGUGCCAGCCUCAAAUGGGACCUCCUCGUGCCCUGCAAGCUCCCUGGCUCUUUCACACCCAGCAAGGACUUAUUUCUAGAUUUCUCCACUCUGCUCACACAUCAGCCCUGUGCUCCACCCCCAUGUUUACGGAAAGGAAGAAGAUAACUUCUCCAGCUGGGAGGAGAGUCAGUCUGUCACAAUCUGUAUUUUUCUUGGGCCCCCGGAAGGCCCUGAGCAGCCAGACAUGAGCUCGGUGGCCCUGGGUGAUUCUGUGGCUCCCCUGAGCCUCAGUGUUCUGAUCUGAUCUGUAAAUGCGGAGAAUAACACCAGACUACCCAGCAGAAACAAAAAAAGAGCCAAAGCCCCGCCCCUCCGUAUUGGAAGCCGCGGAGAUAUUGCACAGGGAAGCACCCAGUGGGACAGUCGGGUCUCCACAGAUGCUCACUAAGGAUUCAUUCUCCGUUUGCAACCCCCCCCCUCCCCCCCCAGCAGGGUUUUGGUCUUCUGUCUCCCGGUCUCGGGCUCCACCUAGAACUGAGGAUAAGUCUGCCACACGUGUUUACUGUGCAAAGGAACCAGGAGGUGCUUCCCUGAGAGCGUGGUUCAGUCGACGGUGAGGAGCCAGAAGCUGAAACCGCGGCUGACGUCUGUGCUCUGUGCCACGUUCGUCCCUUACAUUUGGCCUCACUCGUUCUCCCCACAGCCCUGUGGAGUAGGUACUGUUGCCAUCCUCUUUGACGGGUGAAGACUCAGGCUACAGAGAGGAAAAACAAACCCGAGGCCACGCAGAUGCGAAGGGCAGGAGGAAGACGCAGACCAAGGUGUCGCCAGGAGCGGCUCACUUAUUUAUAGCCCUCCUGCCUGUGUCAUCUGCUUUUUGAGGGGCAGGGGCGUGGGCAGGGGUGGAAAGUCCCCCAGGCUGGACUCUGACAAGUCCCCAGUUCUGAAUGCCCAACACCCACCGUUUCUGCAUGGCCACAAAGCCUCACAUGGCACUUCCCUCUACCAUGGCCAAGUCCUGGGGCUCUUAUCUGAAAAGCCAAGACUCGGCAGAGUCCGGCCAAAGUCAGCGUCGGGAGGAAGACCAUCGGUGCGAGCUGUCUGUGAACCCCUCACCCCCAGCCUCACGACUGGUGACCACGACUUCUACUCUAAGGAGGUAUUGCCCACAAUGGUUGCUGCAGGUGAGUACGUAGGAGGCCGCAGUGCUGGAUGGGCCCCUCAGAGCUCGUUCUCCCACACCUUUGGGGGGUCCUGUGUGCAAAUUCUCCAAGCCCCCUUCACUUCUCGUUCUGCCCCCGCUGCAGCUAGCUUUUUAGAGCUACAGUGGGACCCAGAUCCCAGCUCUGCUACUCACUAGCUAUUGGAUCCACGGGCAAGUUCCUUUCCUCUUCUGAGCAUGAGAAUGAUAACAUCCACCUUUCGGGGCUGCCGUUGAGAAUUGCUGAUGACGUACAUAAAACACCUGACACCCGGUAUGCACUUAAUAAGUAAAUAGUGCUAAUAAUCUUUAUUAUUAUAGUAGACUGCUACCAUUUACUGAGCACUAAACCACAUGCUAAGAUUGUUACAGGCAUAAUCUCAUUUGAUAAAUAAAUAAAUAUUUGAGGGGUGCCUGGGUGGCUCAGUCAGUUAAGCAUCUGACUCUUAAUCUUGGCUCACAUCGUGAUCUCUUGGUUCAUGAGAUCCAGUCCUGCAUCAGGCUCUGCACUGACAGUGAGGAGCCUGCUUGGGAUUCUCUCCCUCCCCACCUCUCUCUCUGCCCCUCCCCUGCUCGUGCACUGCCCCCCCCC